CGCACCUUGCGCCCUCUGGUAUUCCGGAGGGCACGCCCGUUCGAGUGUCUUGACAUCAUCACUUCCCCUGCUUUUUUGUGGGUGGAAUGUGGAUCUGGGGGUUUUUGCUGCGGCAGCGCGGCUCCCCUCGAAUACAUCGGCCUUGCCUCGCGGCGCGCCCUGACGUUGUAACUCCCUCGUCUCGGUUGCAUUGCGAGCUGGCCCCGACCUGCCUCUGGAGCGGCGGUCAACUCAUGUUCUUUGACAUCUGACCUCGAAUCGGGUGGGACUACCCGCUGAACUUAA
This 285-nucleotide unclassified non-coding RNA is filed under the name Tubulicium vermiculare. RNAcentral's name for it is "partial contains 5.8S ribosomal RNA, internal transcribed spacer 2, and large subunit ribosomal RNA". Lineage: Eukaryota; Fungi; Basidiomycota; Agaricomycetes; Trechisporales; Hydnodontaceae. The record is from RNAcentral.